UACGGAGGGUGCAAGCGUUGUUCGGAAUCAUUGGGCGUAAAGCGCGUGUAGGCGGUCUACUAAGUCUGAUGUGAAAGCCCGGGGCUUAACCCCGGAAGUGCAUUGGAUACUGGUAGACUUGAGGACGAGAGAGGGAAGUGGAAUUCCUGGUGUAGGGGUGAAAUCCGUAGAUAUCAGGAGGAACAUCGGUGGCGAAGGCGGCUUCCUGGCUCGUAACUGACGCUGAGACGCGAAAGCGUGGGUAGCAAACAGG
Molecule: ribosomal RNA, 253 nt
Filed under: uncultured bacterium
Lineage: Bacteria
Description: partial 16S ribosomal RNA
Rfam family: Bacterial small subunit ribosomal RNA
Source: RNAcentral